UACGAAGGGGGCUAGCGUUGUUCGGAAUUACUGGGCGUAAAGCGAACGUAGGCGGUGUUCCAUGUCAGAGGUGAAAGCCUGGGGCUCAACUCCAGAAUUGCCUUUGAAACGGGAACGCUUGAGUCCGAGAGAGGAUGGCGGAAUUCCUAGUGUAGAGGUGAAAUUCGUAGAUAUUAGGAAGAACACCGGUGGCGAAGGCGGCCAUCUGGCUCGGUACUGACGCUCAGGUUCGAAAGCGUGGGGAGCAAACAGG
Molecule: ribosomal RNA, 253 nt
Filed under: uncultured bacterium
Lineage: Bacteria
Also listed under: 1 other name
Description: partial 16S ribosomal RNA
Rfam family: Bacterial small subunit ribosomal RNA
Source: RNAcentral